GUUUUCCGUGCGGCUCUAUGGACAAGUCCCUUGGAACAGGGCAUCGUAGAGGGUGAAAAUCCCGUACUUGCCAUGGAUGUACCGUGCUUUGUGAUACACGCUCUAAGAGUCGAGUUGUUUGGGAUUGCAGCUCAAAAUGGGUGGUAGACUCCAUCUAAAGCUAAAUAUCGGGGAGAGACCGAUAGCGAACAAGUACCGUGAGGGAAAGAUGAAAAGCACUUUGGAAAGAGAGUUAAAAGUACGUGAAAUUGUCGAAAGGGAAGCGCUUGAAGUCAGCCAUGCUGCGCGGACUCAGCCCGGCUGAUGCCUGGUGUAUUUCCCAGCAGCAAGUCAGCAUGGAUUUGGAUCGCCGGAGAAGGGUGGGAGGAAUGUGGCACCCUCGGGUGUGUUAAGCCUCCUACUGGAUACGGCGAUUUGGAUCCAGGAACGCAGUGUGCCUCUGGCGGGUCUUCGGACACCUUCACACUUAGGAUGCUGGCGUAAUG
RNAcentral lists this ribosomal RNA (485 nucleotides) under Malassezia sympodialis. RNAcentral's name for it is "eukaryotic LSU rRNA". It matches the Rfam family "Eukaryotic large subunit ribosomal RNA", at positions 160 to 636 of the family's 3401-position model. Lineage: Eukaryota; Fungi; Basidiomycota; Malasseziomycetes; Malasseziales; Malasseziaceae. The record is from RNAcentral.